RNAcentral lists this ribosomal RNA (904 nucleotides) under Cylindrogullmia sp. RNAcentral describes it as "SSU rRNA". It matches the Rfam family "Eukaryotic small subunit ribosomal RNA", at positions 1160 to 1677 of the family's 1831-position model. Lineage: Eukaryota; Foraminifera; Allogromiidae. The record is from RNAcentral.
AAGGGCACCACAAGAACGCGUGGAGCAUGUGGCUUAAUUUGACUCAACGCGGGAAAUCUUACCGGGUCCGGACACACUGAGGAUUGACAGGCAACAAUGCAGGCAGACUAUUUUUAGUCAGCCUGCAUCUAAAUUAUGCUAGUCCUUUCAUGAUUAUGUGAUAGGUGGUGCAUGGCCGUUCUUAGUUCGUGGAGUGAUCUGUCUGCUUAAUUGCGUUUCACCAUGGAUCAAUGAUAACGUGUGUGGUUUCUCUCGGCGAAUGUUACCGCAGUGUAAAAGCUGACUGGUCUUCGCAUUUGAGAGGAAUUAGCGCACAUUUGGUCCUGAAAGCAACGAACGUGACCGCAUCCUCUUGUUGCCUUAAAACUUGCACAGGGCACCUUGUGUGCGUCUUUCGUGCUAACAAAAAGAGGCUCUUGAAAACUAGAGGGACCGCUGCGACUUUUUUAAACCAGAGGAAGGUUGCGGCAAUAACAGGUCUGUGAUGCCCUUAGAUGUUCCGGGCUGCACACGUGCUACAAUGAUUAUUGCAGUGAGCAUCUCAUAUGUAAACGCUGUGUGCACAGGCGGAGCCAGUUUUCCAACUGGUCUCUCCUAUGCACUGCAGUCAAGCCUGCUUCGAAAGUUCGCAGGUAACCAAUUGGAAGUAAUGAUUUCCCUUAACUCAGAUUUAUUUCUGUUUUUUAAUGAGCACACAAUAUGCGGCUCCCUUCCCUGGCUUUCAGCAACUUUGUCUGUUAGCCUUUGUGUGUUGGGAUGCUUUAGCAUGUGCUUUUGUCAAUUCAUGGUGGGGACAGACCAUUGUUAAUUGUUGGUCUCGUCUUAACUAGGAAUGCCUUGUACGGGUCUUUGGUUCAACAAACCACCCGGAAUACGUCCCUGCCCUUUGUACACACCGCCCGUC